GCCGGGUGUGGCGGUGCACGCCUGUAAUCCCAGCUACGCAGGAGGCUGAGGUGGGAGAAUCACUUGAACUCAGGAGGCGAAAGUUGCAGUGAGCCGAGAUCGUACCACUGCACUCCAGCCUGGGUGACAGAGCGAGACCCCAUCUCAA
Molecule: unclassified non-coding RNA, 148 nt
Organism: Pongo abelii (Sumatran orangutan)
Lineage: Eukaryota; Metazoa; Chordata; Mammalia; Primates; Hominidae
Rfam family: Metazoan signal recognition particle RNA
About the family: The signal recognition particle (SRP) is a universally conserved ribonucleoprotein. It is involved in the co-translational targeting of proteins to membranes.
Source: Ensembl